This 77-nucleotide transfer RNA is filed under the name Clostridiales bacterium. RNAcentral describes it as "tRNA-Arg". It matches the Rfam family "tRNA". From Rfam's summary of the family: Transfer RNA (tRNA) molecules are approximately 80 nucleotides in length. Lineage: Bacteria; Bacillati; Bacillota; Clostridia; Eubacteriales. The record is from RNAcentral.
GUUCGUGUAGCUCAGUAGGAUAGAGCAAUCGCCUCCUAAGCGAUAGGUCAGGGGUUCGACUCCCUUCACGAACGCCA